CCUACGGGAGGCUGCAGUGGGGAAUAUUGCACAAUGGGGGAAACUCUGAUGCAGCAACGCCGCGUGAGUGAAGAAGUAUUUCGGUAUGUAAAGCUCUAUCAGUAGGGAAGAAGAAAGACGGUAGCUGACUAAUCAGCCUCGGCUAACUACGUGCCAGCAGCCGCGGUAAUACGUAGGGGGCAAGCGUUAUCCGGAUUUACUGGGUGUAAAGGGAGCGUAGACGGCUGUGCAAGUCUGAAGUGAAAGCCCGUGGCUCAACCGCGGAACUGCAUUGGAAACUGGAUAGCUUGAGUACUGGAGAGGGAGGCAGAAUUCCUAGUGUAGCGGUGAAAUGCGUAGAGAUGAGGAGGAACACCAGAGGCGAAGGCAGCCUGCUGGACAGAAACUGACGUUGAGGCGCGAAAGCGUGGGGAGCAAACAGGAUUAGAUACCCGUGUAGUC
This 441-nucleotide ribosomal RNA is filed under the name uncultured bacterium. RNAcentral describes it as "partial 16S ribosomal RNA". It matches the Rfam family "Bacterial small subunit ribosomal RNA", at positions 338 to 795 of the family's 1533-position model. The record is from RNAcentral.